Molecule: non-coding RNA, 84 nt
Filed under: unclassified sequences
Description: skipping-rope RNA
Rfam family: skipping-rope RNA
About the family: Firmicutes, Fusobacteria, AlphaProteobacteria, Spirochaetes. Downstream gene
Source: Rfam by way of RNAcentral
AUUAUUUGAGGACAGAACAGGCAUCUGUCGCACCACAAAUGUGGUUUGGAAAGAGAUGUGGGAUACGCCGCCCCACCAAAUAAU